GCCUCCAUAGCUCAGGGGUUAGAGCGUCAUGCUUGUAACAUGAAAGUCCAUGGUUCAAAUCCGUGUGGAGGCU
Molecule: transfer RNA, 73 nt
Filed under: Hirsutella minnesotensis 3608
Lineage: Eukaryota; Fungi; Ascomycota; Sordariomycetes; Hypocreales; Ophiocordycipitaceae
Description: tRNA-Thr (TGT) (tRNA-Thr-TGT-1-1)
Rfam family: tRNA
About the family: Transfer RNA (tRNA) molecules are approximately 80 nucleotides in length. Their secondary structure includes four short double-helical elements and three loops (D, anti-codon, and T loops).
Source: RNAcentral